This 450-nucleotide ribosomal RNA is filed under the name uncultured bacterium. RNAcentral's name for it is "partial 16S ribosomal RNA". It matches the Rfam family "Bacterial small subunit ribosomal RNA", at positions 338 to 795 of the family's 1533-position model. The record is from RNAcentral.
CCUACGGGUGGCUGCAGUAGGGAAUAUUGGUCAAUGGGUGAGAGCCUGAACCAGCCAUGCCGCGUGCAGGAAGACGGCCUUCUGGGUUGUAAACUGCUUUUAUCUGGGGAUAAAAAUGCCUUGCGAGGCACAUUGAAGGUACCAGAUGAAUAAGCACCGGCUAACUACUUGCCAGCAGCCGCGGUAAUACGUAGGUUGCAAGCGUUGACCGGGUUUAAUGGGUUCGUAGGGGGUCUAGGCAGUCAGUGGUGAAAUCCAACAGCUCAACUGUUGAUGUGCCAAUGAUACUGAUGGACUUGAGUACAGACGAGGUAGGCGGAAUUGACAGUGUAGCGGUGAAAUGCAUAGAUAUUGUCAAGAACACCGAUAGCGAAGGCAGCUUGCUAGCCUGUAACUGACGCUGAGGCACGAAAGUAUGGGGAUCAAACAGGAUUAGAUACCCUGGUAGUC